This 449-nucleotide ribosomal RNA is filed under the name uncultured bacterium. RNAcentral's name for it is "partial 16S ribosomal RNA". It matches the Rfam family "Bacterial small subunit ribosomal RNA", at positions 29 to 523 of the family's 1533-position model. The record is from RNAcentral.
AACGAACGCUGGCGGCAUGCCUAACACAUGCAAGUCGAACGAGAUCUUCGGGUCUAGUGGCGCACGGGUGCGUAACGCGUGGGAAUCUGCCCUUUGGUUCGGAAUAACAGUUGGAAACGACUGCUAAUACCGGAUGAUGACGAAAGUCCAAAGAUUUAUCGCCAGAGGAUGAGCCCGCGUAGGAUUAGCUAGUUGGUGUGGUAAAGGCGCACCAAGGCGACGAUCCUCAGCUGGUCUGAGAGGAUGAUCAGCCACACUGGGACUGAGACACGGCCCAGACUCCUACGGGAGGCAGCAGUGGGGAAUAUUGGACAAUGGGCGAAAGCCUGAUCCAGCAAUGCCGCGUGAGUGAUGAAGGCCUUAGGGUUGUAAAGCUCUUUUACCCGGGAUGAUAAUGACAGUGCCGGGAGAAUAAGCUCCGGCUAACUCCGUGCCAGCAGCCGCCGUAA